Molecule: ribosomal RNA, 441 nt
Filed under: uncultured bacterium
Lineage: Bacteria
Description: partial 16S ribosomal RNA
Rfam family: Bacterial small subunit ribosomal RNA
Source: RNAcentral
CCUACGGGGGGCAGCAGUGGGGGAUAUUGCACAAUGGGGGGAACCCUGAUGCAGCGACGCCGCGUGGGUGAAGGAGUAUUUCGGUAUGUAAAGCCCUAUCGGCAGGGAAGAAAUUGGACGGUACCUGACUAAGAAGCCCCGGCUAACUACGUGCCAGCAGCCGCGGUAAUACGUAGGGGGCAAGCGUUAUCCGGAUUCACUGGGUGUAAAGGGAGCGUAGACGGUCAUGCAAGCCAGGGGUGAAAGCCCGGGGCCCAACCCCGGGACUGCCCUUGGAACUGCAUGGCUGGAGUGCGGGAGGGGCAGGCGGAAUUCCUGGUGUAGCGGGGAAAUGCGUAGAUAUCAGGAGGAACACCGGCGGCGAAGGCGGCCUGCUGGACCGCGACUGACGUUGAGGCUCGAAAGCGUGGGGAGCGAACAGGAUUAGAUACCCGAGUAGUC